RNAcentral lists this ribosomal RNA (256 nucleotides) under uncultured bacterium. Its description in RNAcentral is "partial 16S ribosomal RNA". It matches the Rfam family "Bacterial small subunit ribosomal RNA", at positions 15 to 266 of the family's 1533-position model. The record is from RNAcentral.
GAUCAUGGCUCAGGAUGAACGCUAGCGACAGGCUUAACACAUGCAAGUCGAGGGGCAGCACGGUGUAGCAAUACACUGGUGGCGACCGGCGCACGGGUGGGUAACACGUGUGCAACCAACCCCGUACCGGGAGAUAACCCGCGGAAACGUGGACUAACAUCCCAUAAUACUGGAGGAUCGCAUGAUCUUUCAUUUAAAAUUCCGGUGGUACGGGACGGGCACGCGCGACAUUAGGUAGUUGGCGGGGUAACGGCCC